RNAcentral lists this transfer RNA (69 nucleotides) under Parcoblatta divisa. RNAcentral describes it as "tRNA-Gln". Lineage: Eukaryota; Metazoa; Arthropoda; Insecta; Blattodea; Blattellidae. The record is from RNAcentral.
UACAUUUUGGUGUAUGGUGCACAAGAAUUUUUGAUAUUCUAGGUAAUAGUUUAAUUCUAUUAAAUGUAA